This 32-nucleotide non-coding RNA is filed under the name Mus musculus (house mouse). Lineage: Eukaryota; Metazoa; Chordata; Mammalia; Rodentia; Muridae. The record is from RNAcentral.
UGGCAGUUGAUAUGCUUUCUACCCUUGUCCUU